RNAcentral lists this ribosomal RNA (1470 nucleotides) under metagenome. Its description in RNAcentral is "bacterial SSU rRNA". It matches the Rfam family "Bacterial small subunit ribosomal RNA". The record is from RNAcentral.
AGAGUUUGAUCCUGGCUCAGGACGAACGCUGGCGGCGUGCCUAACACAUGCAAGUCGAACGGAGGUAUUUAUUUCGGUAGAUAUCUUAGUGGCGCACGGGUGAGUAACGCGUGAAUAACCUGACCCGAAGAGGGGGAUAACACCUGGAAACAAGUGCUAAUACCGCAUAAGACCACGGACCGGCAUCGGUCAGAGGUCAAAGGAGGAAUCCGCUUUGGGAGGGGUUCGCGUCCCAUUAGGUAGUUGGUAAGGUAACGGCCCACCAAGCCGACGAUGGGUAGCCGAGCUGAGAGGCUGAUCGGCCACUCUGGAACUGAGACACGGUCCAGACUCCUACGGGAGGCAGCAGUGGGGAAUAUUGGGCAAUGGGCGCAAGCCUGACCCAGCAACGCCGCGUGAGGGAAGAAGGUUUUCGGAUUGUAAACCUCUGUCGCAGGGGACGAAGGAAGUGACGGUACCCUGUAAGAAAGCCCCGGCUAACUACGUGCCAGCAGCCGCGGUAAUACGUAGGGGGCGAGCGUUGUCCGGAAUUACUGGGCGUAAAGGGAGCGUAGGCGGUCGAUUAAGUUAGAUGUGAAAUCCCCGGGCUUAACUUGGGGACUGCAUCUGAUACUGGUUGACUUAGAGUACAGGAGAGGGAAGCGGAAUUCCUAGUGUAGCGGUGAAAUGCGUAGAUAUUAGGAGGAACACCAGUGGCGAAGGCGGCUUUCUGGACUGACACUGACGCUGAGGCUCGAAAGCGUGGGGAGCAAACAGGACUAGAUACCCUGGUAGUCCACACCGUAAACGAUGAUUACUAGGUGUUGGAGGAUUGACCCCUUCAGUGCCGCAGUUAACACAAUAAGUAAUCCACCUGGGGAGUACGACCGCAAGGUUGAAACUCAAAGGAAUUGACGGGGGCCCGCACAAGCAGUGGAGUAUGUGGUUUAAUUCGACGCAACGCGAAGAACCUUACCAAGUCUUGACAUCCCUUGACGAUGCUGGAAACAGUGUUUCUCUUCGGAGCAAGGAGACAGGUGGUGCAUGGUUGUCGUCAGCUCGUGUCGUGAGAUGUUGGGUUAAGUCCCGCAACGAGCGCAACCCUUAUGGUCAGUUACUACGCAAGAGGACUCUGGCCAGACUGCCGUUGACAAAACGGAGGAAGGUGGGGAUGACGUCAAAUCAUCAUGCCCUUUAUGACUUGGGCUACACACGUACUACAAUGGCGUUAAACAAAGAGAAGCAAGACCGCGAGGUGGAGCAAAACUCAGAAACAACGUCCCAGUUCGGACUGCAGGCUGCAACUCGCCUGCACGAAGUCGGAAUUGCUAGUAAUCGUGGAUCAGCAUGCCACGGUGAAUACGUUCCCGGGCCUUGUACACACCGCCCGUCACACCAUGAGAGCCGGGGGGACCCGAAGUCGGUAGUCUAACCGCAAGGAGGACGCCGCCGAAGGUAAAACUGGUGAUUGGGGUGAAGUCGUAACAAGGU